GACGAACGCUGGCGGCGUGCUUAACACAUGCAAGUCGAACGGAAAGGCUCCAACUUGCUGGUGUACUCGAGUGGCGAACGGGUGCGUAACACGUGGGUAAUCUGCUCUGCAUUCUGGGAUAAGCCAGGGUAACUGGGCUUACUCCUGUACAUGAUCUUACUUAUUAUGGGGUUUGGUGGAACGUCUUUCGGUGUAGGAUGGUCUGGCGGGCUAUCAGCUUGUUGGUGGGGGGAUGGCCUACCAAGGCAACGCCGGGUACCCGGCCUGGGAGGGUGGUCGGCCACAAGGCGACUGAGAUACGGCCCAGACUCCUACGUGGGGCAGCGGUGGGAAAUAUUGCACAGUGAGAGGGAGCCUGUUGCAGCGACGCCGCGUGUGGGAUGACGGCCUGCUGGGAGUAAACCGCUGUCGGCUGGGACGAAGCUUAAGUGACGGUACCUGCAGAAGAAGCACCGGCUAACUACGUG
Molecule: ribosomal RNA, 467 nt
Filed under: uncultured bacterium
Lineage: Bacteria
Description: partial 16S ribosomal RNA
Rfam family: Bacterial small subunit ribosomal RNA
Source: RNAcentral